GUAGGGAAUUUUCGUCAAUGGGGGGAACCCUGAACGAGCAAUGCCGCGUGUGUGAGGAAGGUCUUCGGAUCGUAAAGCACUGUUGUAAGAGAGGAACGGUAUCCAGAGGGAAUGCUGGGUAAGUGACAGUAUCUUACCAGAAAGCCACGGCUAACUACGUGCCAGCAGCCGCGGUAAUACGUAGGUGGCGAGCGUUAUCCGGAAUCAUUGGGCGUAAAGGGUGCGUAGGCGGCGAGUUAAGUCUGAGGUAAAAGGUUGCAGCUCAACUGUAACAAGCCUUGGAAACUGACUGGCUAGAGUGCAGGAGAGGGCAGUGGAAUUCCAUGUGUAGCGGUAAAAUGCGUAGAUAUAUGGAGGAACACCAGUGGCGAAGGCGGCUGUCUGGCCUGUAACUGACGCUGAGGCACGAAAGCGUGGGGAGCAAAUAGGAUUAGAAACCCUAGUAGUCC
Molecule: ribosomal RNA, 449 nt
Filed under: uncultured bacterium
Lineage: Bacteria
Description: bacterial SSU rRNA
Rfam family: Bacterial small subunit ribosomal RNA
Source: RNAcentral